AUAAUAGAGGUUUCAUUCAUAUCUUAUUAUGGAUGGGAUAAAUAACAAAAUGGAUAAAUAAAAAAGACAAUAAUAUAGGGAUUCAUUGAUAUUCUAAAAUUGGAUGGAACGAUACUUAAUUUAGGGUGAGCCAAUAGGAUGAACUGAAAAAGUUAUGUAUCAUUAACUAUGUAAGAUGUAAAGCAACAUCAAUUAGAUAUUCGACUACGAAAAAGAAAAAGUAGGAUCAAAUAAAAUAAAAAGAAAUGGACCGAAUUUUUUUAUAAUGUAUCUCAGAUAAAUUUUGACUAUUCUCACCUCUGAACUUCCCUAGAUUAAACUUUUUGGCCUUUCAACCAAGUAAUUUUACCAUUUGAAUAUUGUUGAAAUAUUAACAUUCUUUUUGGAGCGCAGAAAAAAUCGAAACAAAAUGGAAUCAUUCAUUUUCAGACUAACUUUCUAUACCUAGAAUAUACAUCCAUUCAUUCUUUAGCUAGAAAGAGUAUAUCUCCGUACGCCUAGAAAAAUUAUGUAUGAUGAUCAAGACCACUAAAAAUAUGUAUCUAUUCCCAAAU
Molecule: long non-coding RNA, 554 nt
Filed under: Medicago truncatula (barrel medic)
Lineage: Eukaryota; Viridiplantae; Streptophyta; Magnoliopsida; Fabales; Fabaceae
Description: long non-coding RNA (MTRU_LNC004862)
Source: RNAcentral